AUGGACGAGGUCCAGAGGCGCCUCAUGUUCGACGACGAAUGCAUUUUGGUAGAUGAACAGGACAACGUUGUCGGCCAUGAAUCAAAAUAUACCUGCCAUCUGAUGGAGAAGAUUGAAUCUGAGAACCUGCUCCACAGGGCAUUCAGCGUAUUCCUUUUCAACUCAAAACAUGAGCUGCUACUUCAGCAAAGAUCUGCGACGAAGGUUACGUUUCCUUUAGUAUGGACCAACACCUGCUGCAGCCAUCCUCUGUACCGUGAAUCUGAGCUUAUUCAGGAAAACUUUCUUGGUGUCAGAAAUGCUGCUCAGAGGAAGCUCCUCGAUGAGCUGGGCAUCCCAGCUGAAGAUGUGCCCGUUGACCAGUUCACCCCUCUCGGUCGGAUGCUUUACAAGGCACCAUCUGAUGGGAAAUGGGGCGAACAUGAGCUGGACUACCUGCUGUUCAUCGUGCGCGAGGUGAAGCUGGUCCCGAACCCGGACGAAGUGGCCGACGUGAAGUACGUGAGCCGGGAGCAGCUGCGGGAGCUCAUCCAGCAGGCGGACGCCGGCGAGGGCGGCGUGAAGCUGUCCCCUUGGUUCAGGCUGGUGGUGGACAACUUUCUCAUGGGCUGGUGGGAGCACUUGGAGAAAGGCACGCUCGCGGAGGCCGUGGACAUGGAAACCAUCCACAAGCUCAAGUGA
RNAcentral lists this ribosomal RNA (681 nucleotides) under Triticum aestivum (bread wheat). RNAcentral's name for it is "partial small subunit ribosomal RNA". The record is from RNAcentral. Lineage: Eukaryota; Viridiplantae; Streptophyta; Magnoliopsida; Poales; Poaceae.